This 121-nucleotide ribosomal RNA is filed under the name Escherichia coli. RNAcentral's name for it is "partial 16S ribosomal RNA". It matches the Rfam family "Bacterial small subunit ribosomal RNA", at positions 1 to 114 of the family's 1533-position model. RNAcentral also lists the same sequence under 2 other names. The record is from RNAcentral. Lineage: Bacteria; Pseudomonadati; Pseudomonadota; Gammaproteobacteria; Enterobacterales; Enterobacteriaceae.
AAAUUGAAGAGUUUGAUCAUGGCUCAGAUUGAACGCUGGCGGCAGGCCUAACACAUGCAAGUCGAACGGUAACAGAAAGCAGCUUGCUGCUUUGCUGACGAGUGGCGGACGGGUGAGUAAU